AAACAGAAAAAUGUGAUUGCAUAAACAUCGUUGUUGGCAGGAGGACUCAGUGGAUUCAGGUUUCUAGCAGCAGUUGAAGAAGUUGUUGAAGAAGUUCUGCAGUAUUUUAUUGAGAUCAGCAAAGCUUUUAUUGCUUUAGACUGAGCUGUUUCUAACUGGCAAGUGCAUUUUCUUCGUUAGGUGCAAGGUGAGGAAAAAAGCAGUUGGGGCUUUGCAUUGCUGUAGUCAUGACCAAGAAGGACAUUUAAAAAGCAUAUGAAUGGGUGUGGAUUUGAUAUUUCCUAAAACCAGCUUUUUUUAGUAUUAAAUUGCAUAUUCCAGGAAGCUAGUU
Molecule: long non-coding RNA, 331 nt
Filed under: Junco hyemalis (dark-eyed junco)
Lineage: Eukaryota; Metazoa; Chordata; Aves; Passeriformes; Passerellidae
Description: lncRNA (ENSJHYG00000000604.1)
Source: RNAcentral